This 54-nucleotide ribosomal RNA is filed under the name uncultured bacterium. RNAcentral's name for it is "partial 16S ribosomal RNA". The record is from RNAcentral.
UGGGUAAUCUGCCCUCGAUUCUGGGAUAGCCCGGAACGGGAACGUAUACGACGA